GGUGGCUCUGGUAGAGCGCUUGCCUUGUAUGCAUGAGGCCCUGAGUUCGAUUCCUCAGCACCA
This 63-nucleotide transfer RNA is filed under the name Dipodomys ordii (Ord's kangaroo rat). It matches the Rfam family "tRNA". From Rfam's summary of the family: Transfer RNA (tRNA) molecules are approximately 80 nucleotides in length. Their secondary structure includes four short double-helical elements and three loops (D, anti-codon, and T loops). Further hydrogen bonds mediate the characteristic L-shaped molecular structure. tRNAs have two regions of fundamental functional importance: the anti-codon, which is responsible for specific mRNA codon recognition, and the 3' end, to which the tRNAs corresponding amino acid is attached (by aminoacyl-tRNA synthetases). tRNAs cope with the degeneracy of the genetic code in two manners: having more than one tRNA (with a specific anti-codon) for a particular amino acid; and 'wobble' base-pairing, i.e. permitting non-standard base-pairing at the 3rd anti-codon position. Lineage: Eukaryota; Metazoa; Chordata; Mammalia; Rodentia; Heteromyidae. The record is from Rfam by way of RNAcentral.